UACGGAGGAUGCGAGCGUUAUCCGGAUUUAUUGGGUUUAAAGGGUGCGUAGGCGGGAUGCCAAGUCAGCGGUAAAAAUGCGGUGCUCAACGCCGUCGAGCCGUUGAAACUGGCGUUCUUGAGUGGGCGAGAAGUAUGCGGAAUGCGUGGUGUAGCGGUGAAAUGCAUAGAUAUCACGCAGAACUCCGAUUGCGAAGGCAGCAUACCGGCGCCCUACUGGCGCUGAGGCACGAAAGCGUGGGUAUCGAACAGG
RNAcentral lists this ribosomal RNA (252 nucleotides) under uncultured bacterium. RNAcentral describes it as "partial 16S ribosomal RNA". It matches the Rfam family "Bacterial small subunit ribosomal RNA", at positions 524 to 776 of the family's 1533-position model. The record is from RNAcentral.